RNA transcript from Aphis gossypii (cotton aphid), 6885 nucleotides. RefSeq lists it as uncharacterized. The transcript has 10 exons. NCBI's taxonomy places the organism in Eukaryota, Metazoa, Arthropoda, Insecta, Hemiptera, Aphididae. The record is from RefSeq and is a predicted model, not a curated record.
GUUGGCUGUAAUAACCAGUUACGUCCAAAAACAAAAUUGGUUAUUGCAAUCAUUAUAAAUAUAAUUAUCAUAAUUUUUUAGUUGUUUACAAAUAGUAUCAUGAAUAUAAAAUGUAAACCAUUGGAAAUGGGUUUGAGUGAUGUAUAUUUUCAUUUCCUGAAAAAUUUUUAAAAAUGGACAUAACUGGUUAUUGCACUGGGGUCUUCAAUUUUUAAAUGUAUUAAAAAUUGUAUUAUUUAUUACAUAAUACAUAGUUUUAUUCUAAGGUAUAGUGCUAAAAAAAUAUUAAAUAUUAUAUUGUAAAGAUUUUGUCAUCAGUGAUGUCGACUGUAAGUAUUAUUGCGAUGAUUUUUGUUCACGUUGGUAUCACUGCUGGUUCAUCGGUAUAAUAUGUGGUUAAACAUUCUUAUCAUUUUUCUGACAACUACCCUGUACCCCUAUAUUUUGUGUAUUUCUAUUCGUCAAUACUCGGCCAAGUUUGAAGUUGUACAAGUGUCAAGUACUGAAGAAACCCACUCAUCAGCCAACAGACAGCAGUAGUGUUGCACUUUCAAUUCGCCCAUAUCUUUUUUACGUGCUGGUGCUCUACUGUUUAGUGUUUUGCUGUUGUGUAGUGUAGUAGUGUACUUCACUAUAUAACAUCUACUUAUUGCGAUUUAAUACAAUUAAAACUGCUUACAUCUAACUAUCUAAGCGUAUUACAAGCUCAAAUUUGUAAUACUUACAAUUAUUUGUAAUAAUUUUGAUAAUAUCAUAUUAAAUACCUUCAUUCAGUUCAAAAUGGUUAAACAAGAAAAUAUUUUUUUGUUUGUGCCAAAUUUAAUUGGAUAUGCCAGAAUAAUUCUAGCAGUCGUUUCGAUUUUUUUUAUGCCAACCAAUUACAAAAUUGCAUGCAGUUGUUAUUUGAUAAGUGCAUUAUUGGAUGCUUUUGAUGGUCAUGCAGCUCGAGUAUUUAAGCAAAGUACUAAGUUUGGAGCUAUACUGGAUCAACUAACUGACCGCUGUGGAACAAUGGCUUUAUGUAUUGCACUGUCAAAUUUUUAUCCAAAAUAUAUGUUCUUGUUUCAACUUAGUUGUAUCAUUGAUAUUGCUUGUCACUGGAUCUAUUUGCACUCAUCAAUUUUGCAAGGUAAAACUAGCCAUAAAUUUGUAGAUAUGACUGGAAAUCCGAUAAUGAAAUGGUAUUAUACAUCAAAACCCAUACUAUUUUUCAUGUGUGCAGGAAAUGAAUUAUUUUUUGCUUCAUUAUACCAUCUAUCAUUAUGGAUAGACUCCAUCCAUUAGAUUCUUUAUCACAUUCAAAAGUUCUUACUUCUUUGGCUACUCUAUCGUUUCCAAUUGUUGAAGAGCGUACAGUUACCAAACAAACUCGUACCAUUCUGGAAACCCGACUUGUCAAUACUCGUUUCCGUUCAUUACAAGAAUGCAUUGAUUUGUGCAAUAACAAAUUGAAACAAUUACAAGAAGCUGAAUAUGGUUCAGACUUACCUAGUGUUCAAGGGCUUUUGGAUAAACGAUUAUCUGAUCUUGAAACAUUACAAGACUUUUUGCAAUCGGCUAUACAAAUAUCAACUUGUUUGGCUCAAAGAAAAAGAAGAAAAUGAAUUAAAUCGUGAUCUAGUUUUAUAUAAAUGUACAAUGGGAAACAUAGGGACAACUUUGGUCAAAAACAGAGAUAGAGAAAGAGAGAGAGAGAGGUGAUUUAUGGACGUGUGUGUGUGAGUGUACAUUAUGUGUUUGCGAGUGUGUGAUGUGUGAGCGAAGAAAGAAAUCAAAAACCAGGUCACCAUCAUCAUUAUGCGCGUUUGAAGGAAAUGUGCGGCAUGCAAAAGAAACCAUCCAUGCGUGCUCUGAUCAUAUAGUCAUGCAGUGGCGUGCCGAACAUUUUUUAUAUCUGAGGCAAAACAAUUAUUAAGGACCCACCUACCCACAUAUAAUAAUAUCAAUAUUAAUAUAAUAAUAUAAUAAUAAUAUAAUAAUAUCACCUCAAUUAAUAUAGUUUGGGUUUUUUAUAAUAAACCUCCAACAGGUCAAAAAACCUGUUAAUUUCAUCCAUUUCUCUCUUGAGUCUACUUAAUAGAGGGUCAGCUGGAUCACCUUCUCUUAAAAACUUGAUUAAAUUUUCAUUUAAUUGCUUACGAAUAGCAAUACAAUUUUCAGCACCCAUGGUUAAAAACUAUAAAAACAAAAUAACGUUAAUCCAACUCAAAAAAUAAAAAUAUGUAUUUAUUACUUGAGCCAAAUCAUAUCCCUUGUCAUCUUUGAGAGUAGCAAAUAUCCCAUUAUGAGUAUACAACGAAAUCAAUAAAGAAACAGAAUCAUAAAGAUUGUCUAAACGUAGUGGGGGCUCUUGGCGCACCUCAAUGUCAGAUCUCUAUAAAAAAAAAAAUAAAUAACAAUAAUAAUAUGAACGUAAAAAAAAUAAUAAUAACGAAUAUAUCGAAAAUCGCGCCAUUACAAGUCGACGCGCGUAAUGCGUAUUAAAUGUCUACAUAAGGUUUCUUGCACUGCCGCAACUACACUAAUUCGGGCCCGUGCGUAAAUGAAAUUAUUGUUCACCCCUCAUGAAAAAUUAACUAAUUGUAAAAUUAAUUUUUCCAAAUUCGUAAACAUAGUUUGGAAUUUGAGUUUUUACUCAUAUAAAAUAAGGUUAACAUAAUUAGAACAUAAUUAUAGAGGAAUAUGAAAAUAAAUAAAUGUAAUAAUUUGUAGUCUAUUUUAUUCAUUUUAAAUUUAAAUAAAAAUUUUUCCUAUAAUGAAGCUUCGAGUUUUUUCUAUAGCUAUUAAAGGAAAACUUAUGGAAAACUUCGUAUUGAAUUUUUUAACCUUAGAUAUGAAUACAAAAAAUUUUAUUAAUUUUUAAUUAUAAAAUUACUUGCAAAUUUUUGCGAUUUUGACAUAUACCGUAAAAAUUUUAACUUAAAACAUAAAUAAAAAAAAAUUGUGACCGAUUUUUGGUUUUUUUUUAACUACAGUAAGAACGACUUAUAAGAAAGUUUGUAUUAAAUUUUAAAGUUUUUUUGAGAAACCAAAAUAGUUUUAUCGACGUUUCAAAAAAAAAUUCCAGUUGUCUAUAAAUAGCUAAAAAUAAGCCAUAAUAUUUUGAAAAUUAAACUGUAUAUAGAUAACACUAGCAUAAACACUUAGUGACGUCAAUGAUUCGUUAUUGAGUUACAAGAAUAUAAAAAAAUCAUUUUAAUCAUUGGGCCCGUGUGUUUAACACACGUAACACACUCGGUUAUUGCGGCACUGGUUUCUUGUCCCACCGGAGGCGGUUCGAAUUACCCAUAUUACACUGGUGCCAUAUACAUAAUUGUACAUAAAGUAAUAUAUUUUUUUACAGAGAAUAAUAAUAAUAAUAAAAAAAUAAGACAAUUAUUGUUAGGGUCAACAAUGCGCACACCCGCAGACAAAAACAAAAUACAAUUCGGUAUACGUGUUUUUUACGAUUCGACCGAGCCACCAGUCUUCUCCUUAAAUGGGCAGUAGGUCCGCUCUAGAGGCCGUUCACAACACAUUCUCGCCCAUGUCGUUUAUUAGUAGGACAAAUUAUGUGUAAUUUUAUUCUUUGAUUGAAAUUAUUAUCAUUUAACCGAAUAAUAACGUUAAGUAAAACAAAUUUUUACUCUUGAAGACGAUUCAAAGUCAAAACUUUGGUCAAAAACAGAGAUAUAGAGAAAGAGAGAGAGAGAGAUGAUUUAUGGACGUGUGUGUGUGAGUGUACAUUAUGUGUUUGCGAGUGUGUGAUGUGUGAGCGAAGAAAGAAAUCAAAAACCAGGUCACCAUCAUCAUUAUGCGCGUUUGAAGGAAAUGUGCGGCAUGCAAAAGAAACCAUCCAUGCGUGCUCUGAUCAUAUAGUCAUGUUAUUCUUCACUAUUACAGCAGCAGUCACAGGUGAUGUACAGAACACAACUGUACACGACACAAGAAAUAACAGCGAAAAACAUUACAUGUAGCCUAUGUUUGUCUCGUUCUGCGUUCUCGAUGCAAAUUUCAAUCGGCCAUGGAGAAAAUAUCGUAACUACCUACUUACGGGCCUAGAAGUUUGUCUUACAGACGUACGAAAUACAUUUUCAGUUGUGACUUACCUUUAUCGGUGCUGAUCGGUUCACUAUUAGCAUAUAUAUUACGACUAAAAAAAAAUAUGCCAUUAUCAUGAAUCCAAAACUCAACAGUCUAUCAAACAUUUUGUUUUUUGUUUUGAAUGUAUUAUAAUCGUCUUCAAUCUAUAUCAUAAUAAUAGUUAUUAAUUAUUAUUAUUUUCACUCGAAAACUUCUAUGAAACGUCUUACUUGUAUGACAGACGAUUGGUCCAUACUCUGCAUAUUACAAAUAAUUGAUAAAUGAAUUUGAUAUUUACUCGUGAAAAUCGGCCCGGUAGAACUUUAGAUAUAACUGUCACAAGAAAUCGCCUCACGUUUUAAUAAUAUAUAAAGAUAAUAAUUCAGGUUGCCAUGUUCCUAAUAUUUGUUAUUAGCCAGUUUGAGCAAUAAUAUUAUUAACAUAUUUUUUAAUGAGUGUAUAUUAUUUACAUAUACAUGUGCACUUUCAUAUUUAACAUCGAUAAAUGAUAAUGAGGUCUCGUUAUUCGUUAAUAAUUACUUAUUUACGUUAUAUAUAUAAUAUAUAUAUAUAUUAUUAUACUAUUACUAUUAACUUUCUAUGAACUAAAAUUAACUUACACACUAUUUAUCAUGAUAAGAAUCCUUGAUCAAAUCUAAUUGUUAUUUUAAAAUAUUUGAUUAUUUAUCAUUUUAAGUUCUACCCAUAUAACAUGAAUAUAAUAAAAUAGUUGAGGAUGUUCUUAUUAAAGUGUACUUGUCGUGUAUUGUAUAGCUUACGACCGACAAUAAUACAAAUUACGUGUAUAAUACAACAAAACGUAUGUUUAUCGUAAUAUUUUAAGUUUGAACUCCUUAAUCAAUAAAUUUUACUUAUAUCUUUAAGAAUAUAUUAUUGCUACUCGAUAACAUUUAGAACAUUGAAAUUAUUAGCAAAAUAAUAUGCUUUUUUCAAUUAAGACAAGAUCUAUCUGUAAAUCAUUUUUAUAAUUGCAUGCUCAAUAUUAGUUACUUUGUAUUAUAAUCAGACUAAGCAGUUUGGAAGAACUUAGAUGUUCUUUAUUGGUUGUAAACAACGGGUUUACGUAAUUUAAUAGACUACUGCUCGGUUGCAUGAAAACAGUUCCGUAAAUUGUUGGGCCGAUAAUAUAUUGAUAGUAUAAUAAUGGAAGUUAAAGAACAGAUUGCGUUUCAUGAAAGAUGUAUAAAUUGCAUCAAAUAAUCAGGUUAUAACCAAUUAUCAGGUAUUCAGUAGUACAAGGUUUUCCCCAUAGAUAUAUUAAUACGUCUAUGGUUUUUCCCAUUUGUUCUUGUCCGUGGCUUUGAUUUUUUCAAUUCUUUUUUUUUUGUCCGAGUGAUUUACGUUACAUUACAAUUUGUCUAUUGUAUUUUAUACUUUUUUACGUCAUUGAAUUGAUUUAAUUUACUUUUCUAUAGUAAUUUAUUGCAUUAAAUAAAUAAAUAAAUUAAAUAAAUAUUUUUUAUUGAUUUAAUUUAAAAAUAUUAUUUAUAUAAUUAAUAUGGAAGACGACAAAAAAAGGGGCAAGAACUUUUCUGAAACAGAAAAAUCAAUUUUAAUUGAUCUUAUUUUGCCAUACAAAAAUACUAUUGAAAAUAUCAAGAUCGAUGGCGCAACAAAUAAAGAAAAAGAUGCAGCAUGGAGUGAAAUUGCAAAUUCAUACAAUUGCCAACAAAUAACUGGCAUCAGAACCAUUCGCCAAUUGAAAUCUGUGUAUGAUGUUCAAAAAAGAAAGGCUCGAAAAGACAAAAGUGAUUAUAAGGUUGAACUUUAUAAAACUGGUGGUGGUCGUAAUUUAUCAAUGUUGUCAAGUACAACAGACAAAGUUAUUGGAAUCCUAGGUGAUCGUUUAGAACCUUUAUCUAACCAAUAUGAUUGUGAUUCUGACUAUCCAAUGCAGUUGUAAUAAAGUGUGGAAUGGCAGGAACAGGAUUCCGGGGUGAAAACUGGGCGAAUCACACUGGUGGUUUGUGUCCGAUGUCGUUAUCGCCCAGGUGCCCCACCAGUCGAGUUCAAACUGCCGCCCGCCGAUGCUGCACACCGAUUAGCCCGGAAACGCUUCACGGUGUAACGGACAUCCGUUCUACCGCCAUACUUAGCUGAAUCUGCGCCACAUCUGACUUGACCGGUCCAACGGUCCGGUCUCAAUGAAUAAGGGUUUUAUUCCCCUUAUACUGACCAUCUGUCAUUAAAUUUUUCGAUCUCGUGAACGAAUUCGUCUCUGUAGUCUCGGUGGUUCCACGACGUCACACAACCACAACCGCAGAUGGUCCUGAGAUCUGAAGACCCCGCGGAGACCUUUCCGGAAGGCCGACGAGAAUCGACUUUUUUACUCUCGCAAUGUCAUCGUCUUGUCCGUGUCAAUUAUAGCAGUUCCUGUGUCACUUUCCUCGACCGGCGACAACGUCUGUUCUUCCACGGGGCACACCACCGGCGGUACCAACUCAACAUUUUCCAUCUCGGGACCGAGACUUACAAUGUCAUUAGUUCGCGGAAGGCGCCGGCGUCAAUAUUGGCUCAUCUGGGCACACCACCGGAACUUUCAUCUACUAGAAAUAUAAAUCUAAAUUUCUAUUUCUAUAGAAAAUUAAAUGUAGGUAUAAGAAAACUUUUUUUGCAAAAAAUUGAUCUGAUACCUAGCAAAUAUGAAAUUAUGAACAGUAAGUGAAUUAAAAAUUGUCUCCAAGAUACACUUCUUAGAAUAUCACCUUGACCACAAUUCUGCAAAAUGACAUAAAAAAUACUAUGAACAACUAAUUAAUGUAUUUAAACUCUUAAAUAAAAACUACAGUUUUUAUAAUUUAA